Molecule: long non-coding RNA, 318 nt
Organism: Pezoporus occidentalis (night parrot)
Lineage: Eukaryota; Metazoa; Chordata; Aves; Psittaciformes; Psittacidae
Exons: 2
Source: RefSeq, a predicted model, not a curated record
CACCUCCAUAGGCAUAAUGCCUCGCACUAAGCAGUCGCAUCACAAUGGUAACAGUAUGUCCCCAGCAUUCUCCAGAAAAUGAGUAAUGAAGCAAGGACCCUCAUGACACAUCUAUGUGGUGCAAGGAACUUGAGCAAACUCAAGAUGCUUGAUGCUCCCCUGAGCAAUAGGAGGAAGGAGCAAAUUUCUCCUUGGAACAUGGCUUGAGAGUUACUCCUCGAUGCUGCUAUGGCUGAGAGCUAUACCAGCUGUAGUUUCUCUGCACAUCCCACUGAUGUUGGUUGGCCAUCCCUGAAUGAAAAGCGAAUGUGCAGGAAA